Molecule: long non-coding RNA, 729 nt
Filed under: Olea europaea subsp. europaea
Lineage: Eukaryota; Viridiplantae; Streptophyta; Magnoliopsida; Lamiales; Oleaceae
Source: RNAcentral
UUAAGCUUUGCCAAACAUGCUAUCUAUCCUUGUUAAAGUAUUAUGUUACAUUGUUGCUAUACACAUAUUAAAUAUUACUAAUUAAUACCGAUAAUGAACAAAAGACAUUGAGGUUGAUUGAUUUUUUCGUCUUUUCAGGAGACAUGGCGUCUGCUCAUGUAGUGUACAAGGGUCCAAGUAUUCUGAAGGAGAUCCUUAUUGGGAUAAGUCUGGGCAUCACGGCUGGAGGCCUUUGGAAAAUGCACCACUGGAACAAUCGGAGAAGAACCAAGGAAUUCUACGACCUGCUCGAGAAAGGUGAAAUUAGUGUCGUUGUGGAAGAUGAGUAAUCUUCAUUUGUUGUGAAUCUUUGGUUAUAUUGGUGUAAAUGCGCAUGGAUUAUCUGCAGUCUAGGCAUCUUUGUUGGUAGAAACUCGAACAUAGGAUCUUUCAGUGGAUGGUUAACGCAUACUUUAGGAGGAUCUAAAUCAUGAAAUGAAAUGUCUGUUCAAAUAAUACUCUUUCACUAGUCUCAUGUAUCAAUGAAUGACUUUUUGUAUAUUAUGUGCGAAGUUAUGCUGUGUUCGGAAUUAUGCACUUCAUAGUUUCAAUUCUAUGCAUAAAUGAGCACUCGACGUUUGUUUUCUUAACCUUCAAUUUCUGUGGCGUGUGGAUCUUCAAUUUUUUUCGAUUUUGAACUUUGAACUUGGAUUUUGUAUUUUGUUUGAGCAUCUCUAAUUUUGUACGAAU